This 252-nucleotide ribosomal RNA is filed under the name uncultured bacterium. Its description in RNAcentral is "partial 16S ribosomal RNA". It matches the Rfam family "Bacterial small subunit ribosomal RNA", at positions 524 to 776 of the family's 1533-position model. The record is from RNAcentral.
UACAGAGGGUGCAAGCGUUAAUCGGAAUUACUGGGCGUAAAGCGUGCGCAGGCGGUUUUGUAAGUCAGAUGUGAAAUCCCCGGGCUUAACCUGGGAACUGCGUUUGAAACUACAAGGCUAGAGUGUGGCAGAGGGGGGUGGAAUUCCACGUGUAGCAGUGAAAUGCGUAGAGAUGUGGAGGAACACCGAUGGCGAAGGCAGCCCCCUGGGUUAACACUGACGCUCAGGCACGAAGCGUGGGGAGCAAACAGG